Microcebus murinus (gray mouse lemur) is the source of this 2556-nucleotide non-coding RNA. The record is from RefSeq and is a predicted model, not a curated record. Lineage: Eukaryota; Metazoa; Chordata; Mammalia; Primates; Cheirogaleidae.
CCUCCUCCACUCGGUGGUUGACACAUCGCUUGCCUACUUGAACUUGACUUUGUUAUCCGUACCCUCCCCGUUUGCAGAAUGAACUUGGGGUGGCUUUGUUCCCUCUUCGCUCUUGGAAAAUAUUAUUUUUCAGAGCUUUCACACUCAAUGGCAUUCUCGGCAAAUGACCUAGGAUGGUUUGUAUGAUUGUUUUAUGUUCGCUUUUUAAAACUCUAGAAUAUCAGUCUUGUUCAGCAGCCUUGAAAAUCACAGCCCCUUGAGUAGUACUUAUUUAUGAGGUCGGAGGGAAUAAAACUCUGACUUUGGGGCAAUUCGAUGGAGUAGAAGCCAAAGUGCACUAGACGACUGUGGGAUUCUGCACAUCAGGGCCUGGAACUUGACGGCUUCUCCACGGCCUGAACAGAUGGAAGGAGGCCAGGGUUAUUUUGUGAGAUUAUUUGACUGGAUGAUCCCAGCCGCAUGGGGAGGGUCUGCCAUGGCAGUGACAGAGCCUCAGGGGACGCUGAGGACUAGGCAGGCGUCCGCAGAGCCCAGAGAGGACAGUGUGUGUCGGCCUGGGGUGGUCUCAGCCCUGCCUGGGCCCAUCAGACAGCACCCCCCCAGCUCUGCGCACCCCCCUCCUUCUGCUAACCUCACUUCUCGGAAGUCACAAGAGCUUUGUGAUAAUAUUUUAAAACUUAGUCACAAGUCUCUUGAUUUAAGGCAUGUUUUCUAUUAUAAUCUCGAGACACGAGUGAAGUGGUACACACUGAGAGAUAGAGUCACAAGACAGUCAUAUUUACUUGGUUAGCAUCCAAAAAUAAAAACUGGAAGGAAAUAAGAUAAAACGUAGAACAAUGUUCCCUUUUAGUAUUUGGGACUAUUCAUGUCAUUGAAGCGUGGAUCAAACAGUGACUUCGGAAUUGGGAGGAUCUGGUCACAAUGCCAGGCGGUUGGACAUUCUGGCAACCGGGGCGUGAUGUGGCCUGUGAGAAACGAGGCGACCAAAAUAAUCUUUAAAUCUGCUGUGUCUUUGUCAUUCCCCAAUAGCUGACUCAGUGAUAGACACCCAGUGAAUUUUCACUCAUGUUUAGGACAAAGGGCACUUUUACGUUUCAUGUGCAUUUCCUGAAAAGGAAGUGUUUCUAUAUCUGUAGUUCUUAAUCAACGAGAGGAGGCUUUGCUCCCCAGGAGGUAUUUGGCAAUAUUUGGAGAGACUUCCGGUCGUCAGAACAGGGAAGGCGAGUGCUCCUGGCACACGGAGGGUGGAGGCCAGGGAUGCUGGAGAACAGCUUCCGGCAUCUUACGGCGUUUUACGGCGCCGCACAUCAUCUAACGGCAUCAUACGUCAUCUCGCAGCGACGCACACCAUCUUACGGCAUCAUACGUCAUCCUACGGCGUCGCACACCAUCAUCAUACGGCAUCAUACGUCAUCUUACAGCGUCGCAAAUCAUAUCACAUCAUCUUACAGCAUAUACGUCAUCUUACCGCGUCUCACAUCAUCAGACGGCAUCUUACUUCAUUUCAUCUUACGGCAUCGUAUGGCGUCUUGCAGUGUACAGAUGAACCCACAGUGAGAAGUCCCGCCCCAAAUGAUAUCAGUAGCACUGGGGUUGGAAACCCCAGUAUGUGUGUAAAAUCAUUACUUAGUUCCAAUCAUCUCUGUAAAAGAAGAUUUAUACGUUGUCAAGUUGAAUUCCUCCUUCAUCCAGGCAGGAUUUUCAGGAGACCAGAGAACCAAGUGGGGAGAUUAUUAGCGUGUCAGGAGAUGACUGCCUGCUUCAAGUCAAAACAUCGCCACUUUUUUUUUUUUUUCUCCCUUGGAGACUUCAGGCGCAAAUCCAUGCGUUGGCCCGUGCACCAAAGCAGACAGUCUCGUUACACUCACAGCAUGGAACCCUGUUAACUACUGUUAAAAGCCCUGCCGUGGGAAUCAGCCAUUUAGCUAAGCUUUAUCCAGUGAGCCACGAAAAGCUUCUUUCUAGAUAGGACUUCCACGUCAACCAGAGACGUCAAUCUGACCUUGCAGGAAAGUCACCCGGCUGGUCUUCAGGUGCCUUCGGGACAAUACCACGAGAUGCCCUACGUCUGCACCCCGAGGACCUGCACGGAGACGACAACCCACCCCCUCAAGGGGAGGGUGACCUGACACAUCAGCUUAGCUCUGAGGGCAUCGAGCAAAGCAUCUCAGAUCUCCAGAUUUUUUUUCUCCUGGAGUCUACCUUCCGCAGCCCCCAACCAUGACCACUUGGGAAGCAUUUUUCCUCUCAUUUUGGCAGUUCUUUAUUCUCGAGUUGCAUAUUAACUUUGAAAUGAAUAUGCCUUUAUUUUUAUUUCUCUUUUUAUUUAAGGGGAUCUGUACUUUAAUUUUGUCUUUAUUGUUUUGUGUUUUGUUAUACAAAGAGGGUUUAACGCAAUAUAAUCUAUUUGAGGGAGCCAUAAUUACAUUUUUCAAGAGCCGUAGAACAGUAAGGUAAAAAGAGAGAUUAACUCCAUUUCCCCUACACUUCUUCUUCUUCUUCUUCUUUUUUUUUUACUCACUCAUUCAAGACUCUUGAAAGUGUUAUGUGAAUAGU